Long non-coding RNA from Aegilops tauschii subsp. strangulata, 1544 nucleotides. RefSeq lists it as uncharacterized. The record is from RefSeq and is a predicted model, not a curated record. Lineage: Eukaryota; Viridiplantae; Streptophyta; Magnoliopsida; Poales; Poaceae.
CGAGGAGCGGCGAGGGAGACAGCGAGGAGCGGCGAUGGAGACGGCGAGGAGCAGCCCCUAGUAGUUUUUUUUCUUUUUUGUAAAAUAUGUUUAAAUUUGAACGAACUCGCCGAUGUUUGCGUUAAAUUUGAGCCGUGUUUGCGCCGUAUUUAAGUUUUAAAAAAAAUGUGGGCGCUGCGACUGGGGGGCAUCACGCCCCCAACGCGCGGUUUAGCGCCGGUGCGCCCCCAGGGGGCGAUUGUUAGCCCCUCCUGGGGGGCCAACGGCUGGAGAUGCUCUGAGUUCCCCUCUUCUGCUGUUAACAGUUAGUUGGAUAAAGCAUGUCUCACAGAAGAAUCAUGCAUUUUGAUAGCUCACAGUAGUUGUAUACUAUGAAUGGGCUCAUAUUUUCCUUAUGAUGCUUUGUUUGUUUGAUGAAAACAUUCUCAUUUCUAAAUAAUCUAUCCUUAAACCGUUGAUUGCAAACUAUUUCCCAUUUUUUCCUUUUAAAAAAUUACACAGGAGCACUCCAAUAAAUUAAACUGUGCAAAUAUGCAAGUGAGAACAACCUCUUGUGCUCAACAAUGUGCCAUCUUUCUCCAGCUUCUUGAGCUCAACUAUUUUCCAAUUUGUAACUUUAUGAAUCAGAUUCUAAUUGCAAUAAAAGCACCUUAUGGUAUAGCUCCUAAAGUCCCAGAUCUUGAUGAGGCAAGUAGGAGUAAUGGUAUCUUUGUUAUGUCUAGGACUUAAGAUGGAUGCUACAUUUUGUUAAUGAAGCCUAUUUACUUGCCCAUGCAGGUGAAUGAUUAUCUUUUGAGAUAUAGGACUGCCCCAAGGAGCACUAUGGGUCCGAGUGUCUGAAAGAUGUGUAGUUUAUAGAUAUUAUUGAAGCUGCCUAAACAGCAUGUGUGGUUGCAAAUACAAAUCGAUAGCUCCUGCUAAUUGGCUGGUGGAAGUGGUGACGCAUCAAGGUGCAAUGCAGCGAUGUCAUGUUCAUACUACGGGAAAGGAAGAGCUCCUAAUAUUUUUUAUGCUCCAUGCCGUAGGCAUUUGGUUAAGUCAAAGGCAACAGGAAGGCACGACGAUGAUCAAGGUCCUUAUGUACGCUGAGUACUAUCUUUUGUCUACCAUACCGUAUGAGAAUAGAUCAGGAUGAGGCAACUAAGUCAUGUACAAUGUAUUUACUGGUGGUGUCUACAAGGAGAACAUAUAUGGCCUAUAUCUGACUUUAUGAACUAUUAUAUCGAUGAUGUCGAGUUAUGUCUACAUAGACUGCCUUCGUAGGACGCGAAUUUGGUGAACAUGGUUCCACGUGCACCCCUUAUGAAUAGUAAAUUCAAAACAAAUACUGGAAAAAAAAUCAAAAAAAUCUGAAAUUUUUAUGUAAUAUACAUAGUCAAUCGGUAUACUCACGUAUGAAGUUUCACAAAGAAAUCGCAUCCAUAGUAAUCUAGGCAAAAAUGAAAAAAAAUCCGAAGCUAUAUUAAGAAACAUUGUUCGACGAAUAGUAUUGUCCUAAUUGUAUUUUCUUCACUAAGGAUACUAUGGGUGUCAAUACAUCAUGG